Molecule: ribosomal RNA, 253 nt
Filed under: uncultured bacterium
Lineage: Bacteria
Description: partial 16S ribosomal RNA
Rfam family: Bacterial small subunit ribosomal RNA
Source: RNAcentral
UACGUAGGUGGCAAGCGUUAUCCGGAAUUAUUGGGCGUAAAGCGCGCGCAGGCGGUUUUUUAAGUCUGAUGUGAAAGCCCACGGCUCAACCGUGGAGGGUCAUUGGAAACUGGGGGACUUGAGUACAGAAGAGAAGAGUGGAAUUCCACGUGUAGCGGUGAAAUGCGUAGAGAUGUGGAGGAACACCAGUGGCGAAGGCGACUCUUUGGUCUGUAACUGACGCUGAGGCGCGAAAGCGUGGGGAGCAAACAGG